AUUGAACGCUGGCGGCAUGCUUUACACAUGCAAGUCGAACGGUAACAGGCCUUCGGGUGCUGACGAGUGGCGAACGGGUGAGUAAUGCAUCGGAACGUGCCCAGAGGUGGGGGAUAACGCAGCGAAAGCUGUGCUAAUACCGCAUGUGAUCUGAGGAUGAAAGCGGGGGACCAGGCAGCAAUGUUUGGCCUCGUGCCUUUGGAGCGGCCGAUGUCAGAUUAGGUAGUUGGUGGGGUAAAGGCCUACCAAGCCGACGAUCUGUAGCUGGUCUGAGAGGACGACCAGCCACACUGGGACUGAGACACGGCCCAGACUCCUACGGGAGGCAGCAGUGGGGAAUUUUGGACAAUGGGCGCAAGCCUGAUCCAGCAAUGCCGCGUGCGGGAAGAAGGCCUUCGGGUUGUAAACCGCUUUUGUACGGAACGAAAAGGCUCUGGCUAAUACCUGGGGCUGAUGACGGUACCGUAAGAAUAAGCACCGGCUAACUACGUG
This 492-nucleotide ribosomal RNA is filed under the name uncultured bacterium. Its description in RNAcentral is "partial 16S ribosomal RNA". It matches the Rfam family "Bacterial small subunit ribosomal RNA", at positions 30 to 507 of the family's 1533-position model. The record is from RNAcentral.